RNAcentral lists this transfer RNA (73 nucleotides) under Myotis davidii. It matches the Rfam family "tRNA". From Rfam's summary of the family: Transfer RNA (tRNA) molecules are approximately 80 nucleotides in length. Their secondary structure includes four short double-helical elements and three loops (D, anti-codon, and T loops). Further hydrogen bonds mediate the characteristic L-shaped molecular structure. tRNAs have two regions of fundamental functional importance: the anti-codon, which is responsible for specific mRNA codon recognition, and the 3' end, to which the tRNAs corresponding amino acid is attached (by aminoacyl-tRNA synthetases). tRNAs cope with the degeneracy of the genetic code in two manners: having more than one tRNA (with a specific anti-codon) for a particular amino acid; and 'wobble' base-pairing, i.e. permitting non-standard base-pairing at the 3rd anti-codon position. Lineage: Eukaryota; Metazoa; Chordata; Mammalia; Chiroptera; Vespertilionidae. The record is from Rfam by way of RNAcentral.
GCCUGGUUGGCUCAGUGGAUAGAGUGUCAGCCUGCACACUGAAGAGUCCCGGAUUCGAUUCCCGGUCAGGGCA